ACAAUUCUGUUGGCAUGGUCAUGGUGGACAUCUCACUCCUAAGUGGACUGAUGCCAAACAUCAAGGAUUUGGAACAGAUCACAGAAACCGAGGAGUGUCUUCAGUUUGGUGCUGACCAGAUUGUGUCCCAUGGGACUUGUCCAACCUGCUCCUGCUGUCAUCUAUGACUAUUACAGCCCAGAAAAGAGAUGUGGCAUAUUCUAUACAGCCCCUCAGAAAAGCCCAAUGAUCUCCAAACUGUGUAGUGGGAUGUGUGUACAUGUGCAGAAGGUGGUUGUCCAAACCUGAAAGUCACCUUCAGCAAGAAUAUGAAAACUAACACCCGGAGCAGAUAUGCAUGCUACGAUCCUAUCGUUGACUAUGUUUACGUGAUUAAAAUGAUCACUCAAGCAGAGAUGAAGUGUUUAUGCACUAUACCACAUUGAUCACUGAUGUUCU
Non-coding RNA from Pimephales promelas (fathead minnow), 438 nucleotides. Lineage: Eukaryota; Metazoa; Chordata; Actinopteri; Cypriniformes; Leuciscidae. The record is from RefSeq and is a predicted model, not a curated record.